This 370-nucleotide RNase P RNA is filed under the name Methylococcus sp. RNAcentral describes it as "RNase P RNA component class A". It matches the Rfam family "Bacterial RNase P class A". Rfam says of the family: Ribonuclease P (RNase P) is a ubiquitous endoribonuclease, found in archaea, bacteria and eukarya as well as chloroplasts and mitochondria. The record is from RNAcentral. RNAcentral also lists the same sequence under 1 other name. Lineage: Bacteria; Pseudomonadati; Pseudomonadota; Gammaproteobacteria; Methylococcales; Methylococcaceae.
GGAGUUGGCCAGGCAGUCGCUGUUCCGGCUUGGCCGGAAUGGAGGAAAGUCCGGGCUCCACAGGACAGGACGCCAGGUAACGCCUGGGGGGCGUGAGCCUACGGAAAGUGCCACAGAAAAUAUACCGCCUGCCCGGCUGCUGCCGUGAAGGUAAGGGUGAAAUGGUGCGGUAAGAGCGCACCGCGCUUCCGGCAACGGAAGUGGCAGGGUAAACCCCGUCCGGAGCAAGACCAAAUAGGGGGGCCGCCAGAUUUAUCUGGCACGUGUGGUCCGCACGGCUCCCGGGUAGGUUGCUCGAGGCGUUCCGCGAGGAAUGUCCCAGAUGAAUGACUGCUCUCGACAGAACCCGGCUUAUCGGCUGACUCCGCUC